This 72-nucleotide transfer RNA is filed under the name Entomortierella chlamydospora. RNAcentral's name for it is "Mortierella chlamydospora tRNA". It matches the Rfam family "tRNA". Rfam says of the family: Transfer RNA (tRNA) molecules are approximately 80 nucleotides in length. Lineage: Eukaryota; Fungi; Mortierellomycota; Mortierellomycetes; Mortierellales; Mortierellaceae. RNAcentral also lists the same sequence under 9 other names. The record is from Rfam by way of RNAcentral.
GCCCCUUUAGCUCAUUGGUAGAGCGUUUGCCUAGUAAGCAAAAGGUAGCAGGUUCGAUCCCUGCAAGGGGCA